AGUGAACGCUGGCGGUAGGCCUAACACAUGCAAGUCGAACGGCAGCACAGUAAGAGCUUGCUCUUACGGGUGGCGAGUGGCGGACGGGUGAGGAAUACAUCGGAAUCUACUUUUUCGUGGGGGAUAACGUAGGGAAACUUACGCUAAUACCGCAUACGACCUACGGGUGAAAGCAGGGGAUCUUCGGACCUUGCGCGAUUGAAUGAGCCGAUGUCGGAUUAGCUAGUUGGCGGGGUAAAGGCCCACCAAGGCGACGAUCCGUAGCUGGUCUGAGAGGAUGAUCAGCCACACUGGAACUGAGACACGGUCCAGACUCCUACGGGAGGCAGCAGUGGGGAAUAUUGGACAAUGGGCGCAAGCCUGAUCCAGCCAUACCGCGUGGGUGAAGAAGGCCUUCGGGUUGUAAAGCCCUUUUGUUGGGAAAGUAAAGCAGCAGGUUAAUACCCCGCUGUUCUGACGGUACCCAAAGAAUGAGCACCGGCUAACUUCGUG
Molecule: ribosomal RNA, 492 nt
Filed under: uncultured bacterium
Lineage: Bacteria
Description: partial 16S ribosomal RNA
Rfam family: Bacterial small subunit ribosomal RNA
Source: RNAcentral